Molecule: ribosomal RNA, 395 nt
Filed under: uncultured bacterium
Lineage: Bacteria
Description: bacterial SSU rRNA
Rfam family: Bacterial small subunit ribosomal RNA
Source: RNAcentral
CAGACGUGGGGGAACCUGACCGCAAUGCCGCGUGAGUGAAGAAGGCCUUCGGGUUGUAAAGCUCUUUUGUCAGGGAAGAAACACCGGCUCUAACACAGUCCGGGAAUGACGGUACCUGAAGAAUAAGCACCGGCUAACUAUGUGCCAGCAGCCGCGGUAAUACGUAGGGUGCAAGCGUUAAUCGGAAUUACUGGGCGUAAAGCGUGCGCAGGCGGUUAUACAAGACAGGCGUGAAAUCCCCGGGCUUAACCUGGGAAUGGCGCCUGUGACUGUAUAGCUAGAGUGUGUCAGAGGGGGGUAGAAUUCCACGUGUAGCAGUGAAAUGCGUAGAUAUGUGGAGGAAUACCAAUGGCGAAGGCAGCCCCCUGGGAUAACACUGACGCUCAUGCACGAAA